Long non-coding RNA from Triticum aestivum (bread wheat), 1110 nucleotides. RefSeq lists it as uncharacterized. NCBI's taxonomy places the organism in Eukaryota, Viridiplantae, Streptophyta, Magnoliopsida, Poales, Poaceae. The transcript is spliced from 3 exons. The record is from RefSeq and is a predicted model, not a curated record.
UACACUCGGAGCUCAUUCAACCCCACGAAGCCCGCAAACACGUCCCUCUCCUUCGUCUAUCUCUUUCCCCGACCUCCCCUCGCCGCCGCCGCCACUGCCACUGUCGACGCCAACCUCCAGCCACGGCGUUCCUCUCUCACCCGAGCGACGAAGGCACCCCCUUGACCUCGCCUCCGACCGUAUCGUUGUGCGUCACCGCCGCCGCUGCCACUGUCGACGCCAACCUCGAGCCACGACAUCCCUCUCUCGACCGAGCGACAAAGGCACCCCCGACGGCGGGUACACGUCGGACACGCACGAGGAUCCGAAAGACCGCAAGCACAAGAAGGAGAUGGUGGGCGAGUUGCCGCCGCAGGCCUGGUCCAGCUUCUUUCUACGCCGGGUUUGAACUUCUCGGUUGCCCCGUUGCUGGAUCCUACCUCGGUCGAGCCCCCGGCAAGCAAGGUACGAUCAUACGUCAUAUGAUCUUUUGGCGCGAUCGAAAUAGCAUCGGUCACUUGCUGAUGGAGGCACGGCCGGUUACGGUGUCUACAAUGGCAGCAUGUGGAUGUGUAUGCCCCGACCCCUCCUAUACGUGCACCUCUGCAGCGAUCUAAAGGUGUAAUUCCUCAAGCAUAUUGGCUGGUCACCCGAGCCUAAUUGACAAAUUAUUCAACCUGUUCAUGGAUCAGGCAAAAUAUUCCAUUCAUAAUAAAUGUAUUUGGUUUGCUUUCAGUUUGUUGAUUUUAACAAGCUUCGGAAUACAAUAGUUAUGUUAGGCUAUUCAAACGAAAAAAACAUGCAUGCAUCAUGACCGGCUCGAGGUGGUUGGAGGUUAUUUAAUUUAGGUGAAACAGUUCCAACUUCAACUAUUUGGUUUGGGAAGUAUAUAUAUACUCUUGCUGCUAGGAAUAGCAGGCACCAUGAUAUUCUCAGUUUUCUUUAUUCUUGUCAAGCUUUACAUCACAGCGACAAAGACAUGCAUGCGUCAUGACCGGCUGGAGCUGGUUGGGCGAUUAGUUACAGUAUUGUCACACUAUUAUUGGGUAUUUUUUCAAUGCCUCAUAUUUGACAAAGGGGAUUACAUGUAUUCUCUCAAAAAAAUGACAAGUUUAUAGGUGUACUUUUCAA